This 228-nucleotide ribosomal RNA is filed under the name uncultured bacterium. RNAcentral's name for it is "partial 16S ribosomal RNA". It matches the Rfam family "Bacterial small subunit ribosomal RNA", at positions 30 to 240 of the family's 1533-position model. The record is from RNAcentral.
AGUGAACGCUGGCGGCAGGCCUAACACAUGCAAGUCGAGCGGCAGCGGGUUCCCGCGAGGGGAUGCCGGCGAGCGGCGGACGGGUGAGGAACACAUCGGAAUCUGCCUGGUUGUGGGGGAUAACGUAGGGAACUUACGCUAAUACCGCAUGAGACCCUGAGUCGACGGACUGGGGGUGGAAAGUGAGGGACCUUCGGCCGUCACGCGACCAGAUGAGCCGAUGUCGAG